Molecule: ribosomal RNA, 253 nt
Filed under: uncultured bacterium
Lineage: Bacteria
Description: partial 16S ribosomal RNA
Rfam family: Bacterial small subunit ribosomal RNA
Source: RNAcentral
UACGUAGGGUGCAGGCGUUAAUCGGAAUUACUGGGCGUAAAGCGUGCGCAGGCGGUUUUGUAAGUCUGUCGUGAAAUCCCCGGGCUUAACCUGGGAAUGGCGAUGGAGACUGCAAGGCUAGAAUCUGGCAGAGGGGGGUAGAAUUCCACGUGUAGCAGUGAAAUGCGUAGAGAUGUGGAGGAACACCGAUGGCGAAGGCAGCCCCCUGGGUCAAGAUUGACGCUCAUGCACGAAAGCGUGGGGAGCAAACAGG